UACGUAGGGGGCAAGCGUUGUUCGGAAUUACUGGGCGUAAAGCGCGUGUAGGCGGUCUUUCAAGUCCGAUGCUAAAGACCGAAGCUCAACUUCGGGGGUGCGUUGGAUACUGUGAGGCUAGACGGUCGGAGAGGGUAGCGGAAUUUCCGGAGUAGCGGUGAAAUGCGCAGAUACCGGAAGGAACGCCGAUAGCGAAAGCAGCUACCUGGACGAUUUGUGACGCUGAGGCGCGAAAGCGUGGGGAGCAAACCGG
RNAcentral lists this ribosomal RNA (253 nucleotides) under uncultured bacterium. RNAcentral's name for it is "partial 16S ribosomal RNA". It matches the Rfam family "Bacterial small subunit ribosomal RNA", at positions 524 to 776 of the family's 1533-position model. The record is from RNAcentral.